Molecule: ribosomal RNA, 253 nt
Filed under: uncultured bacterium
Lineage: Bacteria
Description: partial 16S ribosomal RNA
Rfam family: Bacterial small subunit ribosomal RNA
Source: RNAcentral
GACGAAGGAUGCAAGCGUUAUCCGGAUUCAUUGGGUUUAAAGGGAGCGUAGGUGGCCUUGUAAGUCAGUGGUGAAAUCUGACAGCUUAACUGUUAAAUUGCCAUUGAUACUGCAAGGCUUGAGUACAGAUGCCGUUGGCGGAAUAUGACAUGUAGUGGUGAAAUACAUAGAGAUGUCAUAGAACACCGAUUGCGAAGGCAGCUGACGAAACUGUAACUGACACUGAGGCUCGAAAGUGUGGGGAUCAAACAGG